Cebus imitator (Panamanian white-faced capuchin) is the source of this 487-nucleotide long non-coding RNA. RefSeq lists it as uncharacterized. The record is from RefSeq and is a predicted model, not a curated record. NCBI's taxonomy places the organism in Eukaryota, Metazoa, Chordata, Mammalia, Primates, Cebidae. The transcript is spliced from 3 exons.
AAUGCCUUUCCUGGACUGAGCCCCUCGAUCCAGAAGCUGAUCCACUUCUGGACUUAACACCUGAGCUGAAAACGUUUCUUUUUGCCCAUGCUCAUUUUCAUUCAGUUUCCAACAGAACAGAAUCCUGACGCAUACACAAAUGAUUCCUGCCACAGGAUAUUGCAAAGAUCAAGCUCUACAAACUAAAACUGCUGGAGUGCCCAUCUGUGAUCACAAGACAGAAACUACAGGGAGUGAGGUUGGAGAUCAUCAGGAGAAAAGGAGAUAAAACCCCCAUAUGCAAGAUGUCCUCUUUAUACUGGAAGGAAGCUCACAUUGUCAUCAUCAGGAAUGGGAAGUUGAAGCCCAGAGAAAUCUGUGCAAACAUUGUUAAGCUAACCCUUAUCUUCCUAAUUAGUUCUGUACUCAAUUAACUACCUAGUCCAAGCCCUUUUGAUUGUCCUUGUCACAUUUUCCCAAUUUAUUACUCUUUCUCCCCUUUUUAAAC